Molecule: long non-coding RNA, 384 nt
Filed under: Zonotrichia albicollis (white-throated sparrow)
Lineage: Eukaryota; Metazoa; Chordata; Aves; Passeriformes; Passerellidae
Description: lncRNA (ENSZALG00000014544.1)
Source: RNAcentral
AUGGAAUCAGCCUUCACUAUAAAGAGACUUAUGCACUGGGAAGAAUUCAAGAAUUCAAGCAAUUCAAUUCUGAUCUGCUCUACUCUGCCCGCAGCCUUGGUAAGGCAGAGCAUCACAGGAAGAGGAAAGCGAAUUCCUGUGAUACAAGUACUGGUGCAGAGGAGGGGGGAAGACAAGACUUGAUCAUAUAAGGAAGAGUGAGGCAGGUUCCUAAGUAAAGCUGUGAGACAACAAGAGAGAGGCACAGUUGUGUUGUUAUGCAUAGAAGGCCAGAGUUGAGUCUGGUUUCUUGAGGGUGAUGUCCUGGCAAGUACUCUGGCACACAUGCUGUAGUAUAGUGUUCCAGUGCAUCCGUACAUCCAUCUAUGCUGCAAAUGGCACGGG